GAAGGCUUACUUUCUUUAGUAAAAAUAAGCUUACAAUAAACUCAACAUGUUAAAGAAAUUUUUCAUCGGUCUCGUCAUCACAACGCUGAUCCUCGGCAACAUUGCAAAUGUUAAAGCUGAUGAUCCUCAAGCGAAACCUGCACAACCUAACACCCCAAAUAAUAAUGGUAACGAAGGACCGCUAAUGGAUUUAUUCAGUCUUCCAAAGAAUUUCCUUAAAUCUGUAAUGAGACCUGUGUUUUAAACAAUGCAGUUCAUGGGUAUGGGAACACAUAAAUUCUGGAUUAGCUAUUUCUAUCAAUAUCAUACUAAUAAAAUAACAUAUCUUCAUACCUAUUAUUAUUUGAAAUAAAGA
Molecule: long non-coding RNA, 355 nt
Organism: Colias croceus (clouded yellow)
Lineage: Eukaryota; Metazoa; Arthropoda; Insecta; Lepidoptera; Pieridae
Exons: 5
Source: RefSeq, a predicted model, not a curated record